AGAGUUUGAUCAUGGCUCAGAAUCAACGCUGGCGGCGCGCUUAACACAUGCAAGUCGAACGAGAAAGGGGAGCAAUCCCUGAGUAAAGUGGCGUACGGGUGAGUAACACGUGGGUAAUCUACCUCUGGGUGGGGAAUAACCCUGGGAAACCGGGGCUAAUACCGCAUAACACUGCAAGGUCAAAGGCGCAAGUCGCCUGGAGAGGAGCCCGCGGCUGAUUAGCUAGUUGGUGGGGUAAAGGCUCACCAAGGCAAUGAUCGGUAGCCGGCCUGAGAGGGCACACGGCCACACUGGCACUGAAACACGGGCCAGACUCCUACGGGAGGCAGCAGUGGGGAAUCUUGCACAAUGGGGGAAACCCUGAUGCAGCGACGCCGCGUGAGCGAUGACGCCCUUCGGGGUGUAAAGCUCUUUCGGCAGGGACGAUAAUGACGGUACCUAAUAAGAG
RNAcentral lists this ribosomal RNA (448 nucleotides) under uncultured Acidobacteriaceae bacterium. RNAcentral's name for it is "bacterial SSU rRNA". It matches the Rfam family "Bacterial small subunit ribosomal RNA", at positions 8 to 489 of the family's 1533-position model. The record is from RNAcentral. Lineage: Bacteria; Pseudomonadati; Acidobacteriota; Terriglobia; Terriglobales; Acidobacteriaceae.